AGAGCGCCCGGCUUUUAACCGUGUGGUCGUGGGUUCGAGCCCCAUAUUC
Molecule: transfer RNA, 49 nt
Filed under: Conticribra weissflogii
Lineage: Eukaryota; Bacillariophyta; Thalassiosirophyceae; Thalassiosirales; Thalassiosiraceae
Description: partial tRNA
Source: RNAcentral